GGUACAUAUGUAUAGUUAAAAGAAAAUGAAAACAAAAAAAAACUAUAAGAGCAAGUAUUAUAGUGGGCCGGCUAAAUGCUGAGGUGGAUGAGAGAGAAGAUGAGAGAGAGUAAAAGCGGGCCGUAAGCUUACAGCCGGCUCAGACACAAAAACCAAGAAAGUUUAUGAGAGGGACAAGUGGACCAUAUAUUAAUAGUGAUGAGCUAACCAUUAUAUGAGU
RNAcentral lists this long non-coding RNA (220 nucleotides) under Sorghum bicolor (sorghum). RNAcentral describes it as "long non-coding RNA (SBIC_LNC018277)". The record is from RNAcentral. Lineage: Eukaryota; Viridiplantae; Streptophyta; Magnoliopsida; Poales; Poaceae.